This 948-nucleotide ribosomal RNA is filed under the name uncultured Gammaproteobacteria bacterium. RNAcentral's name for it is "bacterial SSU rRNA". It matches the Rfam family "Bacterial small subunit ribosomal RNA", at positions 247 to 1188 of the family's 1533-position model. The record is from RNAcentral. Lineage: Bacteria; Pseudomonadati; Pseudomonadota; Gammaproteobacteria.
UGUUGGUGGGGUAACGGCUCACCAAGGCGACGAUCCCUAGCUGGUCUGAGAGGAUGACCAGCCACACUGGAACUGAGACACGGUCCAGACUCCUACGGGAGGCAGCAGUGGGGAAUAUUGCACAAUGGGCGCAAGCCUGAUGCAGCCAUGCCGCGUGUAUGAAGAAGGCCUUCGGGUUGUAAAGUACUUUCAGCGGGGAGGAAGGGAGUAAAGUUAAUACCUUUGCUCAUUGACGUUACCCGCAGAAGAAGCACCGGCUAACUCCGUGCCAGCAGCCGCGGUAAUACGGAGGGUGCAAGCGUUAAUCGGAAUUACUGGGCGUAAAGCGCACGCAGGCGGUUUGUUAAGUCAGAUGUGAAAUCCCCGGGCUCAACCCGGGAACUGCAUCUGAUACUGGCAAGCUUGAGUCUCGUAGAGGGGGGUAGAAUUCCAGGUGUAGCGGUGAAAUGCGUAGAGAUCUGGAGGAAUACCGGUGGCGAAGGCGGCCCCCUGGACGAAGACUGACGCUCAGGUGCGAAAGCGUGGGGAGCAAACAGGAUUAGAUACCCUGGUAGUCCACGCCGUAAACGAUGUCGACUUGGAGGUUGUGCCCUUGAGGCGUGGCUUCCGGAGCUAACGCGUUAAGUCGACCGCCUGGGGAGUACGGCCGCAAGGUUAAAACUCAAAUGAAUUGACGGGGGCCCGCACAAGCGGUGGAGCAUGUGGUUUAAUUCGAUGCAACGCGAAGAACCUUACCUGGUCUUGACAUCCACGGAAGUUUUCAGAGAUGAGAAUGUGCCUUCGGGAACCGUGAGACAGGUGCUGCAUGGCUGUCGUCAGCUCGUGUUGUGAAAUGUUGGGUUAAGUCCCGCAACGAGCGCAACCCUUAUCCUUUGUUGCCAGCGGUCCGGCCGGGAACUCAAAGGAGACUGCCAGUGAUAAACUGGAGGAAGGUGGGGAUGACGUCAA